Molecule: ribosomal RNA, 465 nt
Filed under: uncultured bacterium
Lineage: Bacteria
Description: partial 16S ribosomal RNA
Rfam family: Bacterial small subunit ribosomal RNA
Source: RNAcentral
GACGAACGCUGGCGGCGUGCUUAACACAUGCAAGUCGAACGGAAAGGCCCUGCUUGCGGGGUACUCGAGUUGCGAACGGGUGGGUAACACGUGGGUGAUCUGCCCUGCACUUCGGGAUAAGCCUGGGCAACUGGGUCUAGUACCGGACAGGAGCCAUUUUUAGUGUGAUGGUUGGAAAGUUUUUUCGGUGUAGGGUGAGCUCGCGGCCUAUCAGCUUGCUGGUGGGGUAAUGGCCUACCAAGGCGGCGACGGGUAGCCGGCCUGAGUGGGUGGACGGCGACAUUGAGACUGAGAGACGGCCCAGACACCGACGGGAGGCAGCAGGGGGGAAGAUUGCACAAUGGGCGCAAGCCUGAUGCAGCGACGCCGCGUGGGGGAUGACGGCCUUCGGGUUGUAAACUCCUUUCGCUAGGGACGAAGCUUUUUGUGACGGUACCUAGAGAAGAAGCACCGGCUAACUACGUG